Molecule: long non-coding RNA, 3478 nt
Filed under: Sarcophilus harrisii (Tasmanian devil)
Lineage: Eukaryota; Metazoa; Chordata; Mammalia; Dasyuromorphia; Dasyuridae
Description: lncRNA (ENSSHAG00000029864.1)
Source: RNAcentral
UAGAAUUUGGAAGAAAAAAAAAUCUGUUUAGUAAAUCAGACUUUGAUAUGAACAAUAGUUUCUACAUUAAUCGUCCUAUAGAUACCUAGAUACAGGUACUUUAGAAGAAGACGCUUGUUGGCACAAAUGAAUUGAUGAGUUUCAGAGACAAUGAGGUAAAUAUACCUUUGUGUGAAGGCUUCCUGAUGCUCCUUAAAUCACACUUGGGGAGAGGUGUCAUCUUUCUACUCAUAAGUAAAAGUAACCCUGAGAUGACUGAGAAAGGGAGUUUUUGUAAUCAUCCAGUACUGUCUCUUGCUUGAAGUAAAUUCUGCUCUCUUUUUUUUUUUUCCAUCUGUCACCUCCAUUAGCAAAGUUCUCUCCACAGUGAAUGUUGACUACCCCCAACAAGGACCAGUGCCCUUGGAAUACCUAUUAUGUGCAGCUAGCUAAUUCCAGAUGUGGCCCUGGGAAGCCUGUUGACAUCUCCUGGGAGCCAAGCUACCCUCAGUCAGGUGGAAUUGACUGAUUCCCAGAUAUGGAUGGAAUGAAUAUGAUUAUCUGAAUUUUCAGGCAAUAAACAGGCUAUAGUAAAGUUAAAGAGAAAAGCUUGUAAGGUGAGAGAAUGUGUUCACUUUUUUCUUCACCCUGAUGACAACAGCUUAGUCACUAACCCAGGAGGAGUUGGAGGGCAUGAGAGUGAGCCUGCUCUGAUUCACUCUAUUCUUAGACUGCUUCAGACUCAUUUGCUGAAAGACACAAGCUACCUUUAAUCUCAUGGUAACUUAUAGUGUCAUAUGACUGCAAAUUUGGAACAAAAGACAAAUCAACAGAAAAUCAGAAUUAGAUCAUCAAGACACUAGGUAAUACAUGCCCAGAUUCUCUCAAAUAAAAUAAAAACAUUCUCUGACUCUUCCUUCUAUUAGUCCAUAGCUAGUUAGAUCAAUGAAUGACUUAUGUAAAGGUUAUUAUUAGAAAAAUUAUUCCUCAUAAUUUUUUUUGCAAUUGCUUCCCAUUAAUCUAUGCCUAUGUCAUAUUAUGAUCCAAUAUGUACCAAGGCUUUGAAGUAUGAAAAAAGAAUCAAAAAUAUCCUUUCCCCUUUUGUCUACUCUUUCUUCUCUACCUCUUCUCCAUCCUCAGUAUCAUUCAUAUAAUCACAUUUUUCAUUUCUUCUCCCGAUCACAUCUUUUCCCAAAUCUCCUUUAUUUCUAGUGCUUUCCCUCUGUUAAUUUCCAAUUUAUCCGGUAUAUAUGUUUAUACAGAGUUGUAUGCAUGUUCUCUUCUUCUAUAUAUUGUUAUCUCUUUGAGAGCUGGGUUUUGUUUUUUGUUUGUUUGUUUGUUUGUUUUUGGUUUUUUUGCCUUUCAUUGUCUCUACCACUUAGCAAUGUCUGGGACAUAGCAGACCCUUAAUAAAUGUGUUGAGUUGACCAAAUCUGACAAUACUUAGCCUGGCAACAGUAUAAACCUUUUCUAAUUUGUGUCUCAAAACUCUACCACUUCCUAAGUCAGAACCCAGAUUUUAUUGAUAAUGGACUUGAUAACUAAUGAAGACAAGAAAGCAAGAAAAAUUAUGAAAAUCAUUCUAAAGCAGUUUUCAUAAGAAAUUAGAGUAAAUACCUUCUAAAUAACUAAAAUACUCUUUCUCUAAACUAUUACUCAUUUUUCAUUUCAAGCUCAUAUACUGUACUUAAAAAAAUACAAAUGACUUUCUGUCCUACCUCUUUCUUUCUACCUCUUCAGUGAUGAUGAUAAAGUAACAGAAAGUAGGACAGAGAGCACUAAGAAUCACACAAGUUUUAAAUGUUCUAAUAACAUGAAUCUGCUAGUCCUAUAAAUCUAAGAUGUUUGUCCAGUGACCACAGAGAAGAUAUAUCAGAGGAGCUGAAUGAUAUGUUUUGACAUUCUAGAAGACAAAAAAUAAUUUUGCAACUCAAUAAAAAGAUUCUUAAAUUAACAAGAAACUUAAUUUCAUGGAGCACUUGGUCAUGUGUGUAUAUCACAAUAUGCAAAAGUAGAGAACAUGCACACAACUCUGUAUAAACCUAUAUAUACAUCACAAAUUGGAAAUUAAUAGAGGAAACAUUUGUGAAAAAUCUUCAUGUAGGUGAUCCAUUGAUCUAACUAUGUGCUUGUGGAAGAAAGAAGCAGAGAAUAUUUUUUAUUUUAUUUUAUUUUAAGAGGUACCCUGAAAAUAAGUGCAGUUUAUGCACCAAUAUCUGUUUCAGGGGUUGAAGCAGGGGACAAUUUCAAUGAAAAAAACAAUAAAAAACUUCCCCUUCCCAUAUUAAAGCAACAUGUGCUUCAAUACUUAGUAUCAUAAAUGUAAAAGAGGAUAUAAGAAUAGAGAGCAAAAGAUACUGGAAAUUGUAAUUCAGAAGUAAGAAGGGAAAGAAGUCAGUGGCUUAAAAACUAUACAGAAGUCUCUCAUCUAUACAUCAUCAAUACUUUCCUCAUAAAGAUAAUGACAAGGUUACUAGUAAUAUCACUAAAAUGAAACCAUUCAUAUUCCAAAUAGACUGGUUAUCAAUAUGGGACUCAUUCCUAACUCAGUCUUUUGUUCAAUCAGACUUGUUAGAGCAAAGAUCAAAAAUCAACUCCAGAAUAAGGUUUCUGGAAACUUUAAAAAAAGGUUUCUGAAAACCUGGAAAAAGGAAAAGCUUUGUUAUGCAACUGAAACACUCCUAAACUGGCCCAUUUAAACAGGCUUUGGACAUUCCACAAUGGGAAAUAGGUACAAGAAGACAUAUUAAUAUAGACUACCACUGUUUUUUAAGGAAGAUUAACUGAUGUGAAUCAGUCAUCACAGUACAGAGACCAAAAGAAGCUAAAAGCCCUCUAAGUAAGCAAACACUUGAUCUUGCUAAGUGGAGAGAUAUAGCAGCAAAGGAUAAACCAUUUUAGAAUAUUAACUCCUUUGUAAAAAAAAAAAAAUUACUGAAGAGUCUUAUGAAAGCUUAUGAACAAUACUGACUUAUAAAAAUCAUUAAAAUGAAAACCCAGUUUACAAAAAAUAUAUUGAGAGAACCAAUUACCUCAAGAGAAUAUGAUGAUGAAACUCAAAGAAGUACAGAAAAGAAAUGAACAAUGAAAAAGAUUUCCAUAGCAAACUUUCCCCCUCUACUGACUAAAGUACCACAUUGAGACACUAACAUUUCCCAAAUAUGUUGAAAGGAAAAGUAAUACUAAUACUAAAUAAAACAGCAAAAGAUAACAUAAUAGACCAAAUAUCCCCAGGUAUAUCUCCCAAUGAAAGUGAUGAUUUUGAGUGUGUUAUGGAAUUCAUUUUCAGUCUAUUAAAAUAGGGGAUAUAUAACUCUUAGAGGGGGUAUGUGGAUCAAGGGUAGCAUUGCCCUAAAAAGGUGGUCAAAAACCACGAUUAACUAUUGAAUCAUUUGCCAACUUUCCCAUUUUUUAUCCCAAAGAGAUUAUAAAGAAGGGAAAGGGACCUGUAUGUGCACGAAUGUUUGUGGCAGCCCUUUUUGUAGUGGCUAGAAACUGG